UGGCGUCCCUAUUGUUUGAACCUCAACAC
RNAcentral lists this non-coding RNA (29 nucleotides) under Mus musculus (house mouse). Lineage: Eukaryota; Metazoa; Chordata; Mammalia; Rodentia; Muridae. The record is from RNAcentral.